GACGAACGCUGGCGGCGUGGAUUAGGCAUGCAAGUCGAACGGUAUCAUCCUUUCGGGGGUGAGAGAGUGGCGAACUGGUGAGUAACACGUAGGUUAUCUACCCUCAAGACGGGGACAACCCAGGGAAACUUGGGCUAAUACCGGAUGUGAGCAACUUUUAGUUGUUUGAAAGGUGGCGUAAGCUGUCGCUUGGGGAUGAGCCUGCGUCCUAUUAGUUAGUUGGUGAGGUAACGGCUCACCUAGGCAAUGAUAGGUAGGCGGCCUUAACGGGUGGUCGCCCACACUGGGAUUGAGAUACGGCCCAGACUCCUACGGGAGGCAGCAGUCGAGAAUAGUCUACAAUGGCCGAAGGCUGAUAGUGCGACGCCGCGUGAACGAGGGAGCCCUUCGGGUGUAAAGUUACUUUUCUAUACGAGCAGUGCUAUAUAUAAUGGAUAGUAUAUAUAGAGGGAUAGUAGUAUAGGAAUAAGACAACGGACUAACUCCGUGCCAGCAGCCGCGGUAAACACGAG
This 512-nucleotide ribosomal RNA is filed under the name uncultured bacterium. RNAcentral describes it as "bacterial SSU rRNA". It matches the Rfam family "Bacterial small subunit ribosomal RNA", at positions 28 to 529 of the family's 1533-position model. The record is from RNAcentral.